Molecule: ribosomal RNA, 492 nt
Filed under: uncultured Gammaproteobacteria bacterium
Lineage: Bacteria; Pseudomonadati; Pseudomonadota; Gammaproteobacteria
Description: bacterial SSU rRNA
Rfam family: Bacterial small subunit ribosomal RNA
Source: RNAcentral
CCUGGCGGCGAGCGGCGAACGGGUGAGUAACGCGUAGGAAUCUACCCAGUAGCGGGGGAUAGCCCGGGGAAACUCGGAUUAAUACCGCAUACGCCCUAAGGGGGAAAGCAGGGGAUCGCAAGACCUUGCACUAUUGGAAGAGCCUGCGUUGGAUUAGCUAGUUGGUAGGGUAAAGGCCUACCAAGGCGACGAUCCAUAGCUGGUCUGAGAGGAUGAUCAGCCACACCGGAACUGAGACACGGUCCGGACUCCUACGGGAGGCAGCAGUGGGGAAUAUUGGACAAUGGGGGCAACCCUGAUCCAGCCAUGCCGCGUGUGUGAAGAAGGCCUUCGGGUUGUAAAGCACUUUAAGUGGGGAGAAAGGCUCCUUGGCUAACAUCCAAGGGGAUUGAUGCUACCCGCAGAAUAAGCACCGGCUAACUCUGUGCCAGCAGCCGCGGUAAUACAGAGGGUGCAAGCGUUAAUCGGAAUUACUGGGCGUAAAGCGCGCGU